RNAcentral lists this non-coding RNA (87 nucleotides) under Streptomyces gancidicus BKS 13-15. RNAcentral's name for it is "ZMP/ZTP riboswitch aptamer (pfl RNA motif)". It matches the Rfam family "ZMP/ZTP riboswitch aptamer (pfl RNA motif)". Rfam says of the family: Previously known as pfl RNA. ZMP is also known as AICAR. Lineage: Bacteria; Bacillati; Actinomycetota; Actinomycetes; Kitasatosporales; Streptomycetaceae. The record is from Rfam by way of RNAcentral.
CCCGCGGGCCGUGACUGGCGCGCUGGGAUGGGACCAACCAUCGGGGAGCGGCCCGAGAGCAACGUGCCGUGCGCCUGGGCCAUCCGU